Molecule: transfer RNA, 73 nt
Filed under: Bradyrhizobium sp.
Lineage: Bacteria; Pseudomonadati; Pseudomonadota; Alphaproteobacteria; Hyphomicrobiales; Nitrobacteraceae
Description: tRNA-OTHER
Source: RNAcentral
GCGCCCUAAUACAGUAAUACAGAUCCUCUCCGAAAGCAGAAAGCCACAUGUUCGAAUCGUGUUGGGCGCGCCA